Amblyraja radiata (thorny skate) is the source of this 125-nucleotide small nuclear RNA. RefSeq annotates it as U4 spliceosomal RNA. Lineage: Eukaryota; Metazoa; Chordata; Chondrichthyes; Rajiformes; Rajidae. The transcript has a single exon. The record is from RefSeq and is a predicted model, not a curated record.
AGCUUUGCGCAGUGGCAGUAUCGUAGCCGAUGAUGUUUACCCGAGGCAUGAUUAUUGCUUAUUGAAAACUUUUCCCAAUACCCCACUAUGAUGAGCAAUGGCAAUUUUUACAGUCUCUGCAGAGA